Non-coding RNA from Podarcis lilfordi (Lilford's wall lizard), 5171 nucleotides. Lineage: Eukaryota; Metazoa; Chordata; Lepidosauria; Squamata; Lacertidae. The record is from the annotation of a GenBank genome assembly.
CACCCCAAACCCCUGUACAUCCAAGUCCUAGAGAACUAUUACAGGAGUUACAGGGAGACUUUGAUCGGUCAGUAAGCAAUACAGCCAGGCGUAUAAAGCUGUUAAAAGAACGCCUUGGGACAAAUACUAUCCCCUAUGAUUUGAGGCCCCUAAAGCAAAGCGAAGAGAAAGGUCACGUAGUAGCCCCUCUCAGAAGAGUAUUUGAUGCACUUGAGGAGCCUGUGCUGGUUAACGGGCAACUCGGACCACGGCCACCUCGAACUUCGACCCUCCAGUACAUUCCAUUCACAACUACGGAUCUGAUGAAUUGGAAAACACACACCCCGUCUUUCGCAGAAAAACCUCAGGCUAUGAUGGACUUGGUGACUUCAAUAGUAAAUACUCAUAGUCCUACUUGGACAGAUUGCCGCCAGCUCCUGAAUACUCUGUUCACCACUGAGGAAAGAAGAGACAUAAUUGAAAAGGCACAGAUAUAUUUGCGUGAGCAGGCCAGAGUGGGAAAUAUUCUUAAUGUUGACCGUCAUCUCCAGGACAAUUUUCCCUUGGAGGAUCCUAAUUGGGAUCCAAACAAUGCAAUUCACCUGGCCAGGCUUACCACCUACCGCCAGACGCUUGUGCAAGGUAUCCGCAGGGCAUGCCAGAAGCCCACUAAUAUGACUAAAGUCUCAGAAGUAGAACAGAAACCGAAUGAGAGUCCGGGAGACUUUUUAGAGAGGCUGCAGGAAGCCUAUCGUAUAUGGACUCCUUUUGACCCUGAAGCCCCUGCAAACAGCAGAAUGAUUACUGCUACUUUUGUGGCUCAGUGCGCUUCUGACAUUCGUAAGAAAAUUCAGAAGUCAGAAGGAUGGGAAGGGAUGCUGAUGAGCCAAAUUAUGGCCAUUGCACGCCGAGUUUAUCGGAAUAGGGAUGAGGCUGAGAAACAAGAGAAGAAGAAGUGGCAGAAGGAAAAGAUGGUGAUGCUAGCCACAGCAGUGAAGCAAGACUACCGCCCUUUAAAUGGAGGGAGAGGGCGGGGAAGGAAUCCACCACUGGGAAGGAAUCAAUGUGCGAAUUGCAAGAAGGAGGGUCAUUGGAAGCGGGAGUGUCCUGAACCCCUGAGGUUGGAAGAAGUACGCCCAGGCCCAGGCCCAGGCUCCGGCCCAAGAAACCAGGGACGGGGACGGGGAAUGAUCCGAGAUGGAAGAUAUCAGAGACCUGGACAAGGACGGAGUAGAGACAAUUUCAUUGGACUGGCAGAGGAGGAUUUUACCCAAGACUAGGAACGACCGGACUCCAUAAAGUUAGGCUUCCAGGAGCCCACGGUCAAAAUUCAAUUAGGGAGCCAUUUAAUAGACUUUAUGAUAGAUACUGGCGCUGAAUACUCAGUACUCCCAGAACUAUUGCAGAAAAAGGCAUCCAAAAGUGUAGUCAUUAAAAGUGCCACUGGUCAGUCAGCUAAGAGGUCUUUCCUCCAACCUUUAGAAUGCCAGAUUGGGGGACAUCAUUUAACCCAUCAGUUUUUGUAUAUACCUGAGUGUCCAAUGCCUCUCUUAGGUAGAGAUAUGCUGUCCAAAUUGCAGGCCCAAAUCACCUUCACUCCUCGAGGUCCAGAAAUGAAACUGCCAUCAAAGGCAGCAGGAAUAAUUUCCCUCUCAGUACCUAAGGAACAAUCAUGGCGCCUAAUGUCAGCCCUGCAAGUCCAACCCACAUUGGAUACAGAAUUAAACAAGCUCCUCCGAACCCUACAAGUGCCACCAGGAGUAUGGGCCGAAAAUAGCCCACCAGGAAUGGCUAAGAAUAUAGCUCCAAUUGUAGUAACCCUAAAACCUAUGGCUACCCCUGUAUCUGUAAAGCAAUAUCCUGUUACCCGGCGAGCAGCAGAGGGCAUCCAGAAACAUUUGGACCGCCUAUUAAAAUAUGGUCUGCUUAAGCCCUGCCAAUCAGAAUGGAACACACCCCUUUUGCCUGUUCGGAAGCCUGGGACAGAUGAAUACAGGCCAGUACAGGACUUGAGGCUCGUAAACCAGGCUAUCGAGACCUUGCACCCAAAUGUACCAAACCCAUAUACCUUGCUGAGUUUGAUCCCACCAGAAGCAACAUUUUUACUGUAUUGGACUUGAAAGAUGCAUUCUUCUGUUGCCGGCUGGCACCACAGAGCCAACCUAUAUUUGCCUUCCAGUGGGAAGACCCUUUGACAGGAACAAAAGGCCAGCUAACCUGGACAAGAUUGCCCCAGGGAUUCAAAAAUUCCCCAACUUUAUUUGGCACUGCCUUGGCGAAGGAUCUAACAAGUUACCCCUCAAUACCUGGAAAAAAGGUGGUUCUGCAAUAUGUAGAUGACCUUAUACUAGCGGCAAAGGAUUUUGAUACCUGUAAAGAAGGGACAGAGGAACUGCUCCACUUGCUCUGGGAAGCUGGCUACCGAGUUUCCCAGAAAAGGCACAGUUAUGUUUAGAAAAGGUCAAAUAUUUGGGCUUUGACAUCUCACACCAACAACGAGCAUUGAGACCAGAGAGGAAAGAAGCUAUUUGCCUUAUCAAGGAACCUACCACAAGGAAACAACUCAGAGGAUUCCUGGGAACAGCAGGGUUUUGUAGACUAUGGAUACCUGAUUUCAGCAGUCUGGCCAAGCCCUUACAUGAAAGCACUCGAGGUGCAGAACAGGACCCAUUCGUAUGGGGACCUGAGCAGCAACAAGCCUUUUUAGUUAUCAAACAACGACUUAUGGAGGCCCCAGCCCUGGGACUGCCUAAUUCGGAAAAACCCUUUCAGCUGUAUGUACAUGAACAGAAUGGGAUUGCAGCAGCAGUCCUGACCCAGAGAUUAGGAAGUUGGAACCGUCCAGUAGCUUAUUUGUCAAAACAAUUGGACUCAGUAGCAAAAGGAUGGCCUCCAUGCCUAAGGGCAGUAGCGGCCACUGCAAGCCUUGUCAAAGAAGCUGAUAAAUUUACCUUUGGCCAGACGAUGUAUGUGAAUGUACCUCAUGCUGUUCUGACACUCAUGGAAUAUAAGGGUAGUUAUUGGCUAACGAAUCCAAGGAUGGCUAGAUACCAAGGCCUAUUGUGUGAAAAUCCCAGGAUUCAUCUACGAGUAGUGAAUAUGCUCAAUCCAGCAACUUUGCUGCCCCUACCAGAGGUAGAUGAUGAAGAAUCACAUGAUUGUCUCCAAAUAAUGGAUGAAGUGUAUUCCAGUAGACCCGAUCUGAAAGAUGAACCAUUGAAAAAUCCAGAUGUUGUAUAUUAUACUGAUGGUAGCAGUUACCUGCAUGAAGGUGCCAGACGAGGCAGGAUAUGCUGUGGUCACCAAUGAGGAAGUUGUGGAAGCUGAAGCUUUGCCUGCUGGCACCUCAGCACAAAAGGCUGAACUUAUAGGUUUAACUAGAGCUCUGCAAUUGGCAGCCGGAUGUAAGGCAAACAUCUAUACUGAUUCUAAAUAUGCCUUCUUAACCCUGCAUGCACAUGGAGCUCUAUGGAAAGAAAGAGGUCUAAUCGGAGCCCAUGGGAAGGCCUUGAAAUAUGGACCUGAAGUAGAAAUCCUGUUGGAAGCAGUAUGGGCUCCAGAACAGAUUGCUGUAAUGCACUGCAAAGGUCAUGGACGUGGAAGGGAUCCAAUAACCAGAGGAAAUCAUGCUGCUGACAAAGCAGCCCGAGAGGCAGCCCAGAAGCCUGUGGGAGGAUUUAUAGCAGCCCUCAUACCAGAGGUAGUUCCAGAAGAAAUUAAACCUCACUAUACCCCAGAAGAGAGGAAGUGGGCUGAACAGGAAGGAGCGGUUGUGAAGGACGGUUGGAUGAUCCUGCCGGACAAUAGGAUUUAUGUACCUCAUCACCUAGCAGGCACAAUUGUAAGAAAUUAUCAUGAAUCUACUCACCUUGGCGGUACUGCAACCAGAGAGAGUCUCAGUCGGAAGUUGUAUAUUAUUAACCUAUCACAAUUAGCAACUUGCAUUUCACAGAAAUGUGUUCUUUGUGCUAAAAACAAUCCCAGGCAGGGACCGGUACAACCUCCUGGAAUCCAACAUGUGGGAUACGUCCCCAUGGAAAGCCUAAUUGUGGACUUCACAGAGCUGGUCCCUUCUAAGGGAUUCAAGUACCUCCUUGUGUUUGUAGAUACCCUUACCGGAUGGGUUGAAGCUUUUCCCACCAGGACUGAAAAGGCACGAGAGGUAACUAAGAGACUCCUCACUGAAUUGAUCCCGAGGUUUGGAUUACCUAGAUGCAUUGGAAGUGAUAAUGGGCCAGCGUUCAUUGAUCAAGUAGUACAAGAAGUAUGUCGAGUCCUACAAGUGAAAUGGAGACUGCAUGCAGCAUAUAGGCCUCAAAGUUCGGGGAAAACUGAAAGAAUGAAUCGGACUCUGAAAACCCAAUUGGCAAAAUUAACCCAGGAAACAGGAUUGGGAUGGGUAGAUGUGUUACCCAUAACACUGUUUCGUGUUCGGUGUGCACCCACAAAAAGACUUAAGUUGUCACCUUUUGAGCUCCUGUAUGGGAGGCCACCCUCCUUUGUUCAGGAUAUUCCAGCUGACCUCAAACAAAUAGGAGACCAUGUGACACAGGGACAAGUGCAAUCUCUCUCCCGUGUUUUUGUUUCUCUUAACAGGUGGGCCCUCGAGCGCACGCCGUGCAGCAUUGCCGAGCCGAUUCAUCAGUUCCAGGCUGGCGAUAGCGUAUGGGUGAAAGAGUGGAAACGUGAUCCACUUGCACCUAAGUGGCGUGGGCCUUACACCGUCUUGCUCUCUACUCCAACAGCGGUGAAGGUAGCUGAGGUGAACCCCUGGAUUCAUCACUCCCGUUUGAAGAAGUCCGAAGGCAGUUGGACGUGCAAAGGUGACCCCUCUAAUCCUUUUAAACUGACUCUCUCCAAAAACCCCUGUAUCUAGCCCUACGGGGAACGGGCUAGGUCACGGGCAACAUUAGACGACCGGCCUGCUGCAGCCACAACCUGGAAGCUGGCUGACCUGCGCACGCCUGAAGCUUGAGGAGCGUCUGAACCAGCGAUUGUGAACAGGAAGAUUCUCUUAUACAAUUGAUUGACUGCCCCCCCUUGUGGAACAAUUAUCAGGGAUAUUACUCAUUGGGGAUCCUCGGGAUAUAUGUUUUGGUCUUGGUGGUUCCCCAUUUCUGUCAUUGGGGGAAUUAUAUUGGGCCUAAUAUUUUUUUGUUAUCACAAUAAGGUAAUCUUUUGUGGAAGAAAUG